UGCGUAGGGCGCAAGCGUUGUCCGGAAUUAUUGGGCGUAAAGAGCUCGUAGGCGGCUUGUCACGUCGGGUGUGAAAGCCCGGGGCUUAACCCCGGGUCUGCAUUCGAUACGGGCUAGCUAGAGUGUGGUAGGGGAGAUCGGAAUUCCUGGUGUAGCGGUGAAAUGCGCAGAUAUCAGGAGGAACACCAGUGGCGAAGGCGGUGGUCUGGGCCGGAACUGACGCUGAGGAGCGAAAGCGUGGGUAGCAAACAGG
This 253-nucleotide ribosomal RNA is filed under the name uncultured bacterium. RNAcentral describes it as "partial 16S ribosomal RNA". It matches the Rfam family "Bacterial small subunit ribosomal RNA", at positions 524 to 776 of the family's 1533-position model. The record is from RNAcentral.